CAGCGCCACAAGUGGCAAUCGUUAUUAUUGGGCCUAAAGCGUCCGUAGCCGGUUUAGUAAGUCUUUUGUGAAAUUGUUGUGCUUAACACAACACUGUGCAAAAGAUACUGCUAGACUUGGAACUGGGAGGAGUUAGGGGUAUUCCAAGGGGAGCGGUAAAAUGCUAUAAUCCUUGGAGGACCACCGGUGGCGAAAGCGCCUAACUAGAACAGAUUCGACGGUGAGGGACGAAAGCCAGGGGAGCAAUCCGGAUUAGAUACCCGAGUAGUCC
This 271-nucleotide ribosomal RNA is filed under the name uncultured archaeon. RNAcentral describes it as "partial 16S ribosomal RNA". It matches the Rfam family "Archaeal small subunit ribosomal RNA", at positions 477 to 747 of the family's 1478-position model. The record is from RNAcentral.